GUAUUAAUUUGAUGGUGUAUAUGUUUACAAUCUUGCUGAAAGUAUUUAAACUUUAUACAACAUAAUAUGCGAAGUAAAUAAAAACAAGGAAAGUUUAUAUUAGUAUGUUGGUAGGUCGGCGGGUGGACCGGCGGAGUGGAGUGGAGUGGAGGGCCAGUACAUUACAACAGGUGUGUGUUGGCUGUGGGUGUGGAGUCAGCCAGGCUGCCAGGUACUGUAGUUACCAUGUUACCUCCUCAACCGGUUCGUCACCCCACCGCACACAC
RNAcentral lists this long non-coding RNA (266 nucleotides) under Hordeum vulgare. Its description in RNAcentral is "long non-coding RNA (HVUL_LNC002496)". Lineage: Eukaryota; Viridiplantae; Streptophyta; Magnoliopsida; Poales; Poaceae. The record is from RNAcentral.